Molecule: ribosomal RNA, 400 nt
Filed under: uncultured bacterium
Lineage: Bacteria
Description: bacterial SSU rRNA
Rfam family: Bacterial small subunit ribosomal RNA
Source: RNAcentral
UGAGGAAUCUUCCGCAAUGGGCGAAAGCCUGACGGAGCGACACCGCGUGAAGGAUGAAGCUUUUAUUAGUGUAAACUUCUUUUCUGUGGGAAGAUAAUGACGGUACCACAGGAAUAAGGGGCGGCAAACUAUGUGCCAGCAGCCGCGGUAAUACAUAGGCCCCAAGCGUUAUCCGGAAUUACUGGGCGUAAAGAGUUCGUAGGCGGAGGGACAAGUCAGGCGUGAAAGGUACGGGCUCAACCCGUUUCUUGCGUCCGAAACUGUCCCCCUGGAAUUGGGGAGAGGUAAGCAGAAUUGUAAGAGUAGGGGUGCAAUCCGUUGAUACUUACAGGAAUACCAAAAGCGAAGGCAGCUUACUGGAACCAUAUUGACGCUGAGGAACGAAAGCGUGGGGAGCGAA